CGUAGGUGGCGAGCGUUGUCCGGAUUUAUUGGGUUUAAAGGGUGCGUAGGCGGUCCUAUAAGUCAGUGCUGAAAUACUCCCGGCUUAACCGGGAGGGUGGCAUUGAUACUGCAGGACUUGAGUAAAGUUGAGGUUGGCGGAAUUGACGGUGUAGCGGUGAAAUGCUUAGAUAUCGUCAAGAACACCGAUAGUGUAGACAGCUAACUAAGCUUUAACUGACGCUGAGGCACGAAAGUGUGGGGAUCGAAACAGGAAUUAGAUACCCUGGUAGUCCACACUGUAAACGUUAGAUUACUACGAUGUUGGCGAUACACUGUCAGCGUCUUAGCGAAAGCGAUAAGUAAUUCCACCUGGGGAGUACGCCGGCAACGGUG
RNAcentral lists this ribosomal RNA (374 nucleotides) under uncultured organism. RNAcentral describes it as "bacterial SSU rRNA". It matches the Rfam family "Bacterial small subunit ribosomal RNA", at positions 526 to 896 of the family's 1533-position model. The record is from RNAcentral.